Molecule: ribosomal RNA, 563 nt
Filed under: uncultured Glomeromycotina
Lineage: Eukaryota; Fungi; Glomeromycota
Description: SSU rRNA
Rfam family: Eukaryotic small subunit ribosomal RNA
Source: RNAcentral
UUGGAGGGCAAGUCUGGUGCCAGCAGCCGCGGUAAUUCCAGCUCCAAUAGCGUAUAUUAGAGUUGUUGCAGUUAAAAAGCUCGUAGUUGAAUUUCGGGAUCAGAGUGUCGGUCGUGCCUCGGUACGCACUGGUUUAUUGGUUCCUACCUUCUGAAGAGCCGCGAUGUCAUUAAUUUGGUGUCGUGGGGAAUCAGGACUGUUACUUUGAAAAAAUUAGAGUGUUUAAAGCAGGCUUACGCUUGAAUACAUUAGCAUGGAAUAAUGAAAUAGGACGUUUGAUUCUAUUUUGUUGGUUUCUAGGAUUGACGUAAUGAUUAAUAGGGAUAGUUGGGGGCAUUAGUAUUCAAUUGUCAGAGGUGAAAUUCUUGGAUUUAUUGAAGACUAACUACUGCGAAAGCAUUUGCCAAGGAUGUUUUCAUUAAUCAAGAACGAAAGUUAGGGGAUCGAAGACGAUCAGAUACCGUCGUAGUCUUAACCAUAAACUAUGCCGACUAGGGAUCGGAUGAUGUUAAUUUUUUAAUGACUCAUUCGGCGCCUUACGGGAAACCAAAGUGUUUGGGUUC